Long non-coding RNA from Panthera uncia (snow leopard), 1009 nucleotides. RefSeq lists it as uncharacterized. Lineage: Eukaryota; Metazoa; Chordata; Mammalia; Carnivora; Felidae. The transcript has 7 exons. The record is from RefSeq and is a predicted model, not a curated record.
AAUUUCAAACAAUAAUGUUAUACCUUAGCAAUACUUUUCAUAAAAAUGCAUACAAAAAAAACAGAAAAAAAUGUCUCCAUUUAAAAUGGAGAAACACAAAUUAGUAUCUUAUUCUCACAAGUCAAACUCCAUUUCAAACAAAUUGAUACUGAGUUAGCCAGAAAAAGUUCAACAUGAGGCACCAUAGUAGCACAAAAACUGCAAAGGUGAACAAGGGCCAGCCAUUCUGUGCCAAGUUGAAAUCUAAUCCUUUGGUUAUUAUGAAGUCAUUAAAGAAUCUUAAGUAGGUAAUAAAAUGAUCAAAAAUAUAUUUAGAAAGAUCUCUCAGGCAUAAUAGAUAAUAUGUGGAUAAUGGACUAGGGACAGGCAAUUCUGGCAGUUUAUCAGAGUUCAGGGGUUGCAUGUCUUCUGCCAAAGUUCAUGGGCAACAUAAACAAUGAAGCUGAGAAACCUAGCAGGAAACAGCAAUUAAGUGGAAAAGAAGGUGAAGGCUGCAGCCCACCUGUCCUACCUGGAAUGCUCUCAAGAUGGCUUCCCCCAUCACACUGAAGGAAUGACAUCAAAAUUACUUUGUGAAAGCCAGGACCCCACUCCAAGCAGAUUCUGGUAAUAACGUCCCCAAAAAGGUGAAGACACAAAAAGUGACCAAGUGAGUAAAUAUUGAAGUUAUUGGGAACCAUAGUUCUCACUGUUGGAAAAGAACAAUAUAAAUAUGGAAUGAGAUAACGCUUAGAUGAGCCAUCAACCUAGCUGCCAUCAACCUAGAUCCAUCUGCAGAGAUCCUAAAAGUGUUUACAUGCCUUCCUCAGAAGAAAAGCACACCUCUCUUUGAUCUCAGUGAUAUCAUGAGACUAAGAUGCUGCUAUGGACUGAAAUGUGUCCCUCCAAAUUUAUGUUGUCGUCCUAACCCUCACUAUGACUGCAUUUGGAGAUAGGACCUUUAAAGAGGCCCCUCUUCCCUGCUUGUAUGGUCUCAGAGAAGGAGAAGGAGAAGGAGAAGGAGAAGGAG